Molecule: long non-coding RNA, 418 nt
Organism: Haplochromis burtoni (Burton's mouthbrooder)
Lineage: Eukaryota; Metazoa; Chordata; Actinopteri; Cichliformes; Cichlidae
Exons: 3
Source: RefSeq, a predicted model, not a curated record
UUAUUGACCCAAACCAGCUCGCACCAAUUGUAGAUGACAUUCUGAACAGGUACACACCAAGCUACAUUGGUGCAAACUACCACAGAAAGUUUCCCAUGUUCAGUGUGGCCGUGAGCGUCCCGUACAAUGAACAAACAAACAUGUUUGAUAUGAAUGGAGUCCCUGAUGGUGGUGAAGUUGUGAGGGAGACGAUUCUAGACUGUGACGUAUACAAAGGUAACAGAGUGAUGGCAGCCACAGUGCUGAGAUGGCCCAAUGUUCUCGAUCAGUGUCCUGAUGCUCGUGUACAGUGGACCGAUGUUUUGCGGAAAUGUCGUAAACAGGACAUGACAUGGAAUGAUGUUAAGUUGUGUCGUAACAUUAACAUGCGGAAUGGCAGAGCUGAUCAUGCAGAGUUUCGAACCCUGCAGCAUGUCAA